CACAGGAAACAGCCAUGUCUUAUUGCUUUUAUGGAUUUAUAGAAAAUUGAGAUCAUACAACAUACUCAAAAUCUCUAUAAACAGCGAUCCAAACUGGGACCCCUUGAGCUCUCCCGGGCAGCAGCAAGCUGUGACCAGCAAUGUCCCUCUGAGUGGGACACCUCUCAGAGCCAGAGAACUCUCAAGUUUGCUAUACUUGGAUGAUCACUGAACAAUGACAGCAGAUCCUGGACUGAUACCCUGACUCCUCAAGACUCAACCCUUCGCCUGUUGAAAAGAUGCAAAGGCAUCUAAGUACUUCACUGAAUCCGAGGACAAUUUUUCAAGUGUAUACCUUGUACAGGCUCUUUAUGUCUGUGUGCAUGCAAGCAUGAGUAUGCCAUAGCAAAUGUACCAGGAAUGUUGCUCCCCUGGAUUCUUAAGUAUUUUAGUUUUGUAGUAAGUUAGGCCUGUAAGUGAGUUACUGUUAUGCUAUAGUAAAUUCUAUAUGAAUCCUUUGCCAAGUUGUUUAUCUUAAGUGCAGUUAAGGUUAAGUGCUUUUGGACCUUUAGGUCCAAAACUGUUCGUCAAGUCAGGGCUCAGUUUAGCACAAGAGUCUACUCUGAACCUUGUGACCCAACAGGAGGGUCUUCCAUAUUCCUUUUUUUCCUUGCCCUUUCCUAUUCUUUUCUUCCUUACCCAUUCCUAUCCUUUUCUUCCCUGACCUACCCCCCUGCCCUAUCCCUCAGCCUCCACAUAGAUGGUUUUGGGUUUACUUUGGUUUAGAUUGAUUUAUUUUGGAUUUUUGGUUUGCUUUUGUCUGUGUACUUAAACCAUCUAGUAAGUAGUAGAGUGAACCUUGCCUAUGAGCUUUGUUGUGCUUUUGCUUUUAUAUUAAACCUGUUUUUGCUGA
This is a long non-coding RNA of Neopelma chrysocephalum (saffron-crested tyrant-manakin), 892 nucleotides long. RefSeq lists it as uncharacterized. The transcript is spliced from 2 exons. The record is from RefSeq and is a predicted model, not a curated record. Lineage: Eukaryota; Metazoa; Chordata; Aves; Passeriformes; Pipridae.